Megalopta genalis is the source of this 875-nucleotide non-coding RNA. Lineage: Eukaryota; Metazoa; Arthropoda; Insecta; Hymenoptera; Halictidae. The record is from RefSeq and is a predicted model, not a curated record.
AAUAAAAUUUGAAGAAAGUAAAAAAUAAUUUUAGAAACGAAAUAUCAACCGAGUGUAGAUGGCGCUAUUCUCCUAUAGUGAAUCGUGAAUCUGUCCUGCACCCACAUUUCAGAAGAUUUAUUUCGUGUGGAAAAGUGAAUUAUUCACAUAUCUUCUAUUUAGACAAUACAUUCUUGUAUUUCAAAGUGAAAUUAAUGAAUUACAUUUGUGAAAUACACGUGUGACAUCGUAUUUCUACAUUUUAUUUUUGUUGACCGUUUUUAGCAAUGGCAUUUAAAAAGUGGCACAUAUGCAUUGUUCUAGAAAAACGAUUAUGUACUUACACAUUUUUAAGCACUAAUAAUGGGAAGUGGCAAAUCGUGAGAUGAUAUUUAAAGAUACAUGAAACGAAAUUUUAUAAUUGCAGUGAUUAAUACAAUUAAGUGUAAAAUUGUCAGAACAUGCUUCUAAAAAAGAUACUCUGAUGGAGUUACAAACGAAGAAUCGAAUGCAUGGAAGUACGAUCCAUUAUUAUCCUAUGCAAGACAAGCCGAAGAAAGAAUUCAAGAAUUUGACAGACUAAAAAAAGCAAGACAUCUACUUGAUGCUAUUUUUCUUACAAAUGAAUUAAUUUCUGAUGGUUCUGAUGUAGAAAUAUUGAGUCUUGCUAACACUAUAAUAACAAGAUUUAAGGUUUUAGGGGUAUUUAAUACAUCACUAGAAAAUACUAGUGAAAAUACAAGGAUAAUGUUGAAUUCUUCUCACAGUGGCAUAUACCAUUGUUGUACAUUUUGUUCAAGUGGAGGGAAAAAAGAAGUCACCUGUGGUUGUAGAGGAACAAUGCCUGGUACUACAUGUUUAUUGAAUAAUGCAAUAAAGUACUAUUCAAUAUUGUA